RNAcentral lists this long non-coding RNA (228 nucleotides) under Elaeis guineensis (African oil palm). Its description in RNAcentral is "long non-coding RNA (EGUI_LNC004397)". Lineage: Eukaryota; Viridiplantae; Streptophyta; Magnoliopsida; Arecales; Arecaceae. The record is from RNAcentral.
UGGCGCCCCCAUAAAAUCCUACUUUGACUGUGGCUCUGCAGCCACCACUUUAACCAGAGCUGCAGAUGCCUCCUCGAAGUUCGGAGAGGAGGUUGACUCAUCAAAGUCGCCUUAGGACACAGCAGCCAGCUAGACGGCGAUCUCCAAGCCCACAGUCGGGCCAUGACUCAACCUCCGAAUGUCGAUCUCCUUUACACUUUGAGGUUGGUACUGUCCGUGAAGUUGAUU